RNAcentral lists this ribosomal RNA (468 nucleotides) under uncultured bacterium. Its description in RNAcentral is "partial 16S ribosomal RNA". It matches the Rfam family "Bacterial small subunit ribosomal RNA", at positions 28 to 507 of the family's 1533-position model. The record is from RNAcentral.
GACGAACGCUGGCGGCGUGCUUAACACAUGCAAGUCGAACGGAAAGGCGCGGCUUUUGUGGGGUUCUCGAGUGGCGAACGGGUGAGUAACACGUGAGUAACCUGCCCUUGACUUUGGGAUAACUCCAGGAAACUGGGGCUAAUACCGGAUAGGAGCUCCUGCUGCAUGGUGGGGGUUGGAAAGUUUCGGCGGUUGGGGAUGGACUCGCGGCUUAUCAGCUUGUUGGUGGGGUAGUGGCUUACCAAGGCUUUGACGGGUAGCCGGCCUUAGAGGGCGACCGGCCACAUUGGUACUGCGAUACGGCCCAGACUCCUACGGGAGGCAGCAGUGGGGAAUAUUGCACAAUGGGCGGAAGCCUGAUGCAGCAACGCCGCGUGCGGGAUGACGGCCUUCGGGUUGUAAACCGCUUUCGCCUGUGACGAAGCGUUAGUGACGGUAAUGGGUAAAGAAGCACCGGCUAACUACGUG